AUAUACAGCCAUACUAUCCAGAAUGUGACUGAUCGCAUCUUAUCUCAGAAGCUAAGCAGGGUCAGGCCUGGUUAGUACUUAGAUGGGAGACAGUCUGGGAAUACUGGGUGCUGUAGGCU
This 119-nucleotide ribosomal RNA is filed under the name Saimiri boliviensis boliviensis (Bolivian squirrel monkey). Lineage: Eukaryota; Metazoa; Chordata; Mammalia; Primates; Cebidae. The record is from RNAcentral.